GCGGUGGGGCACCCUUCAGCUGAGACUUUUGCUGAAGUCUCCUCUCGGGGCUGGCCUCCCUGAUCCUCCACGCGACCAGAUGGGGAUCUCUUCGGUUGUCUCUGGAAACGCCCAGACAGCAGCUCAUCUCAGAGGAUGUUCAAGAGCAGCUGUGGGCUAUAACCAAGAGGAGUUAUCUUUGCAUUUUUCAUUGUUGCUUGGUGAGUGCCUAAUUUUUUCUCUGAUACUCCCUCAUGUAAUGAUUACAAUUAAAAUGUGAUAUUUUUAUUCCACUCUGUGUAUUAAUUUUAAAACCACUAGUUUAAAAGUUAUAACAAUGGACAUGCUAUUUUCUUGUAAUUAAUUCAUAAUAAUAGAAUAUAUUUACUCUGAUGAGACAAAGACAGAACACACUAAUAAAUAUGCAAUCUGACUUUUAUGGUUUUAGAAGUAGAAACAAUGUAGACAUCAGUUUUGAUGGAUGAUUGAAGAAAUUGGCACUAUACAAUUCAUUUGGUUAAGCUAAAAGCCUCCUCAAGUUCUCUUUAUGUUUUUGUAAUACCCUUAAACAGUAUUUUUAUAAGCAUGACAUACAAGUGUAGGGGGAUGAAAAGGAGCACAUAAAUAAAUGUGGGCUAUCCCUCACUUUAAAUAAAAGUCAUCCUGUGUUUAUAGUUAUGUGGAAAUCUUUAUUCGUAUUUUUAAUCAAGAAGAACAGUGAUUUCAUUUUCAAUUGGUCUGUAACCUCCUCUAUAAUAUAACUUAUAUUAUUCAUCUUGAAUCACAGUUGCAGGGUUUAAAUACAUCUUUAAGCAACACAGCUAAUUUAGCCAUUAUGAUAGAUGCUUAUUCUUUUUGUUGUUGUUGUUUAUUUAUUUAUUUUGAGAGAGAGAGAGAGAGAGAGAGAGAGAGAGAGAGAGAGAGAGAGAAUCCCAAGCAGACUCUGCAUUGUCAGUGUGGAUCUCACAAACCAUGAGAUCAUAACCUGAGCCGAAGUUGGACCAAAGUUGGACACUUAACCCACUGGGCCACCCAGGCACCCCUAGAUGCUUAUUCUUAUAAUGAGACUAGUGUCUGUAAUAGGUAUGGGCUUUAGACUGGAACUCUAUGUGGGCUUUAAGCAGGGACUGUAUGGGUCCUUGGGAUGUCUCUCUUGGGAAGCAUGUAUGUGAGUAAAUUUUAUCCAUUUAAGGAAAAUGGAGUAAGUGAUUAGUAACUACAAAACUAGACUAUAGCAGAAGCUAUGUUAUUUUUUCACUGAACUAUCUUUGCUUGCCCUAUAUAUGAAUGAAAGACUAAAGAAGAAAUGAUUCUGCACUCUCCAAUAUAGUAGCCAAAUGCCACAUGUAUCUGUUGAGAAGUUGAAAAAUAGAUACUGCACUGGAGGAACUUAAUUUUUAACUUAAGUUAAUUUAAACUUAAAGAUCUACAUAGGUUUUAUAGCUACGGUAGCAGAGAGCAUAGCCCUAAAAGUUAGUGGUGUCAGAAUUUAGAAGAAACUAAGAUCCUGAAACAUCACAUAUAAUGUUUUCCAUUGAACACUAUAGUCAGACUGUGUUAUAAGAAGUAAAUUUGUAGUUUGUUAACACAAUGAAAUGUUUUGAUUAUGUCUUAUAAGAACCAGAGUUAAUCAGCAUGACUAAUAUGACAGCAAUAUCCUAUUUAUAUUUAUAAUCUCAGCAUUUAGUGUAGUACUGCCACAUGUUUUGGUGAAUACGUUUUUGAUAUUCAUAUACUCUGUAGAUAUUGAAAGAACUUUUGUUCAAGUAUAUGACCUAUAAAGCAAUUUUAAUUGUUAUCAUAUAUAAAUACAUGCAUAUAUGUAUGUAUAUGCAUGUAUUUAUAUAUGUGUAUAUGUAUAUAUGGAUUUCAAAGAAUGUUUAAAUAAUAUUAAUGUAAAAAUGACAUGGCCUAAUUUUCUUUUAAUUCUGAAUGUAGGGCUUUAGUGGUGAAGCUGAAGUGGUUAAGACAUUUUUAUGAUUCUUCAGGAAGGCAACUCAGUGUAAAAGAACUAAACCAAACCUUUCCCUUGCCAUUUCAAAUGUUCUUUCCAUGACGUUUGUCAGUGACUCAUAUACCCGCCUUGUGAUAUUACAAGACUUACGUGUUUUUAUUAAUGAAAUUUAAGGCAUGUGACAAUUUUCUGAGAUAAUUGGAGCCCAUGAAGAUGUGACUUUAUUUGUCGAAAGAGUGUCUCUCAGUAGCACAUUGGGCUUUUCCUAUGAAUGAUGUAUUCCGGGACACAAUGAAACUUAGCUAAGCAGACACUUUUGUCUUGAUAUUAGGUAUCGUAUGCAUGUGAUGGAUGUGGAGACAGUGGAGAGAGUGAGGGGUUUUCCCAAGGACUUUUUCACAUUAACACUCCUAUAAUACCUUCCCUCUGACAAUAUUCUCUUAGAGGCAGUGCAUUUCUACUAUUUAAUGGUUACUUUUACUUGGUAGUUAGAACUCAGAGUAUACUGACUGUCAUGAUCCAGAAUAUUGCAUUGUUCUGGGAAAAAAAAUCUGUAGCACAUAUAUAGAAAGAGAUUUAGAAGUAUAUAGAAAGGCUUCUAUAAUUGCUUACUAUAAUUUUUUUCCAGAGAAAUUCUGACCCUAUUUUGGAGGUUUUUCAUAGGACAUAACCUGAUAAAUAAUUUUUGAAGCAGAAAUGUAAUGCCUAAUGCCUAUAAUGUCCAGUGCUUAAUUCAUUCCUGUCCAUAGAAUUUGUCUUCUAUUGAAUAGGUCAGUGCCAUAGAACUGGUUUUCUUUGAGUCACUAACAUAGUCCCAUAAAGAAAUAAAUAAUAAGGCUUUGUUUUUAUAUACAUUUUUAAGAUUUUUAAACAUUGUUUCUUACCUAUUUUAUUUUUGUACAAUGUUGCUUUUGAUUCUGAAGACAUAUAAAUUUCCAUUUCUAUACAUUUUCUCUUCAUUUGUAAAUUAGAUAAAUAUAAAGACAUGCAUUUUUAUCCAUAAACUGAACAAGUAGACUAGGGUGCAUAGCCAAAGAUGGUGCCCAAUAAAGACAGGUAUGUAUAGGAACUGGAUUAUAUGCAGAUACCUGGUAGGUAGAAAGAGGGGUCACAUUUCGCUCAAUCAGGAGGAAAAGGGAAGAUAGGCACCAAAGCACGUAGCUGGUAGAACUGGUGGGGGGUUUACGAGGGAGCCCCACAAUCUGAUCUCCAUGUGCAAACUGCUCUGCUAGAGGUGGCGAAACAUGCAGAACGAAAUAGUAUGUAAUGUUGGCCUAAAUCACUCAAAUAUUUUAGGGAAGUGUAAACUUAUUCAGGUAGCAAUACCCAUGCUUAGCGUGGUAGAAGAGCCCUGAAGCAGUCAUUCAGACUGCAGCUGUCCAGGGUUUACAAACUAUACCGUCUCCUCCAGUGCCAAGGAGAAGACGUGCUUUUCUUGGGUUGAGUGCUUAUGUCCAUACUGAAGCACAGUUAAUGUCCUGUCAAUGUAUUGCCAGCUCAAAUUGCACAUUUCUAUACUUUGAAUGGAUCAGAGCUGAAGAAUUUGCCUCCUUUCAUGCCAGACUGUAUUAUGGUCAAGAGACUUUUCCUUAGAAAAUAAGUAAGGCUUAAGCCUGUUAUCACUGAGUUUAUUGAAAGGAAUAAGCCAUAGCUUCAGGCAAAAGUCUAUACAAAUCAGUUUGAUAAACCUAAUUACCACUUUUUAUAACACCUUUGGGCCACUUUGAAAUAGAGUUGAAGCACCAUACAGUGAAUAGCUGACUUUCCCAAAAGGCACUGAGACAUUGAUUUAAUUGAACUUUUUCCAAACAAAGAGCAGUUUCAAUUUUUUCUCACUCUCCUAAAAUAUAAAGAAAAGCAGAACUCAGGAAUGUCCUGGCAGUCCUUCAUUUCAGCUCUUCAAGCCUCAAAUUCCUCAUAUGAGCAUCUUCAGUGUCAUUAGCUAGGUUUAGGAGUUUUACACUACACUGUCUUUUUAGCUUAACCUUAUUAAAUUGCCAGGUAUGUUAGUACAGAGUGCCUGAUUUGCAAGGGUAUUCCAACUGUUCUCACACUAAUGCAUUGCUGCAUAAGCUAUUGUCUGGUUUAUUUUACCAACUGUUCUAAUCCCUAAGUGUGCUAUUACCACUUACUGCCUACCCUUCAUUAUCUACAUUAAUUUCAGAUUAGUUUUGGGAAAACUAAACUGUAUUUAUACUACUCUUUAUACUUUUGCGUGUAAUUUUGACACACCAAAACUUCUUAGCACUGUUUUUAUAGCUUAUCGCAGUAUAAUUCCAGUUUUCAAAUGUGUGUCCAUCCCACUGUUGUUCAGUAUUGUCAGUCUUUAACCAAACCUAACCAUUCAUUUAUUUUUACUCAGAAUUUGUUGGUAUUUAUUUUAAUAUUGAAAUUUAGCUUUAUUAAAGUAUAAUAUCCACAUGUAAAACUUUAUAAAUCAUAAUAUGUAGCUCAAUAAAUUUUCAUAAUCUGAAUAUUUAUUUAAUCAGAUUAAACUGUUUAAUCACCAGAUCAAGAAACUGACCAUUAGGAGCACUUCAGAAGCCUCCCUUAUGGUACUUUCAUUCAUGAACCAGGAUCCAAACUGCUAAAAGCCUAUUUUGAAUUUUGUACUGAAAUCAUAUUGAAUAUACUUUUGUAUAUCUAUUUUCCCUAAACAUUAUGUUUAUGGGAUUCAUUCAUGUUGUUGCUUAUACUUUUUCUUUAUUCUAUCAGGUUUGAAUUCUCAGCUUUUUUAUUAUUGUUCAAAAUACACAGUGUUUAAAAUGCUAUUUCCCAACUUCAAUUUCAUUUUCUACUAACUCCACUCUUGGCAUUUCUGAACGUUUCUCAAGCCUUAGUUCAAAGACUUCUUCUUCCACAAUGCAGUCCUUGUAACUUUUUUUCUUCACUUCUGUUCUCAGCUGAAGGAUAGUCCUAGAUAUUCUAAAUAACCCUAAAAUAUGUAUGGCAUUUCUAAUAUUGUACUGUGUAUAUUCUGCUCAAAUAAGACCCUGUUUCAGAUAUUAGGAAGAAUGCUGAACCUUUUGCCUUACAUUUAGUUAAUGAUUGUAUAGUUAUUUGUAUUGCAUCUUUUCCCACUUACUGGACUCUAGGCACAGGAUUCAAAAAAUGGCGUCAUUAAAAGCAAGGCAUACCUUACACUACACCAAAGAAUAUGGACAAACUGUAAUGCUAGCAUUCUCCCACAAAUUGUUAAAUUCCAUAUAAAUGAAUCUCAGUCUAGUCAACAUUUCCUUGUGGACUUUCUCCCAGCUUUUCUUUCCCAUUAUUGGACCAAAGACAGCCUACAUGGCCUUUGUAAGUAUUUUGAUCAUUUCACCCAGAUAGGAAGGACUCCCCUAAAUUUGGUUCGUAUAUCAUGACUAAUGGUGCUGUACACCAAACAACAGAAUAUAAAGGUAUUUAUCAUUCACAUAAUCAGACUUUUUGGAGGGAGCAAGGUUCCAAGCAGAUCAGAAAAUGGCUUGAGAGAGAAGGGAAAGGACAGUGGCUUUGUGGCUGUAUGGUAAUCAGGAUAUCGGACUGGGAUGAUGAUCCCUGCACACCUGCUGGAGCUUGCAGAUUUGAACUUCCUGCCUGUAUCAGAGUAGGGGUCACCCAGAUUUUAUCAGUUUGGCCUGAUUGGGGAAAGAAGUGGAAAUAAAUAGAAGUGUUGGGGCUUGAAACCUAUGAUCAAAUAUCGAAAAUGGAGUUAGAUUCUAUUGCAGUAAACUUCUUGGUUUUACAUCAUAAGAUUCAAAUAAUAAUUCAGAAUAUAGUUUGUAGAUAUGGUGGGCAGUUAAUACAUUCAGGAUUUUAUUUUCAUGAGUUAGUACAGAUAGGUCCUUUGUUUUUGGCUAAAGGCAUAAGAAUGGAUUUUUUUGGUUUGUUUGAGUAAUUCUUUGUGUGCACCAGGUUCUGAUAAAAAAUGGAGUAACAAAGGAUUGUCAAAGUUCUUUGCCACCUCCUUCCCAUUCCCAAACUCAGUGAUAGUUUUUUGUUGGUGGUGAUGGUGGUGGUAUUGUUCAUUUUUUAUUUUGUUUGUUUUGAAUCACUGGUGUCAGGUAAAUGUUUAACAACCACAUUCUUCUCCCAAAAAAAGGCAUAAAUUGAACUCGAUUUGUAUCAUAAGCUUAUUUACAUGGUGUAAUAUUGUUACCAAGGUCUAUUUCAAGUGAUCCACAAGAUCCCACCGCUCUUUGAAAUCUUUAGGGAUUAAUGUCAUCAGAUAUGAAGUAGUUGACAAAUAUUUUCUGAGAUUUAGCGUUUAAGCAGUAUUUAUCUUCAGUGCCCACAUACCUAAGGCUAAGUCAGAGCUGGGAGACAACGAUGGUUCUCCUUCUGAGGGCUUCAGGAAACUACCGGCAGGCAACAGCUGUGCUGUGCUGUGCUUAACAGCAUUCUUCUCAGGCAGAAGCCACAUGGAAAGCCAUCAGGAGGAUAGUGAAGCAGAAAAACACGAUCUGGCUUCCUCCUGAGUACCAUAGAGAUAUGACCCUGCUGAUUCCCAGAAACGUGUGGGAUGGGCAGGCAGAUACUUUGAGGGCCUGUAUAAGCAGAUUAAGGCUAAGACAAUGUAUUUAUAGUAUCAAUUUUAAAUCCAAAGGUUGUUGAAGAGAUGUGUUAACAGGAAAAGCUAUUGGCAUUAGCAUUGAUUAAAAACAAUUGGAAAACAACUAUGAAAUGUAGAUAAAAAAUAAACUUUAGAUUGAAAAUACAAACAUAAU
Felis catus (domestic cat) is the source of this 6642-nucleotide long non-coding RNA. RefSeq lists it as uncharacterized. The transcript has 2 exons. Lineage: Eukaryota; Metazoa; Chordata; Mammalia; Carnivora; Felidae. The record is from RefSeq and is a predicted model, not a curated record.